Molecule: long non-coding RNA, 401 nt
Organism: Nothobranchius furzeri (turquoise killifish)
Lineage: Eukaryota; Metazoa; Chordata; Actinopteri; Cyprinodontiformes; Nothobranchiidae
Source: RefSeq, a predicted model, not a curated record
CCGAGGUAGAGUCCAGCAUCCACCCCUCUGAUGCUGACCAGACCCACUGCCAGGCUGAUGAACUCCAGGAUACCUGAGGUCUUUCACACCAUCUACGACGCAGAUAUGUAUAUAAGCACUAGAUGGCGAAAACGGGAGUCGACGGCGUUGCUAAACGGCGGCCAUCUCCGCUUGCAAUGGUAACAGCUGGAAGAAAUACUCCUUUGCUAAAUUGUGACGCUUGAGAGUCAACAUGCCUGACUUUUGUGCAGCCUGUGGAUGCCCAGAUCAGCGUUGUGAUAAAUCGAGACAACAUGGGAUCACCUUUCAUCUGAAACUGUUGCAAAGAAACCUGUACAUGUACAUUGUUCAAUGUGUUAAUUGUUUUUAUUUUACUAAAAUAAAACUGUUGUUCCAUUGCG